Small nuclear RNA from Lutra lutra (Eurasian river otter), 106 nucleotides. Lineage: Eukaryota; Metazoa; Chordata; Mammalia; Carnivora; Mustelidae. The record is from RefSeq and is a predicted model, not a curated record.
AUGCUCACUUUGGUAGCACAUGUACUAAAACUGGAAUGAACAGAGAACAUUAGCAUGACCCCUGCACAAAGAUGACAGGAAAACUUGUAAAAUGUUCUGUAUUUUU